UAUGCGUGGAUCCUGCUUUGGGCUUGAUCAUCUAGAAAUCCACCUGAAGAGCAGAGGCAUCGUUUCCCGACCACAAAUGAUGGAUUCUGGGAAGCCUUUGAGAAAACCACUUGAUUCUUUACACAUCCAACAAAGACCUUUUCCUUGAGCUGGGACUGAAAUUCAAGGCUGCUCCUUUAUGGUCUCCUAUCAUCAAAAGAUGCAGGGACAAAUGAAGAGACAGAUAGAAGCAUCUCAAGAACAGGAGGGGGCAUAGUGUUCUCUGGAGAGGAAGAGGAACAGAGCUGUUGACAGUGGCACUGUCUUUGGUCUCCUGUGGGAAUCGUUUGGAUGGUGUUCUAUUGUAGGUGACGGCCAGUUACUGGCCACUUCCUCAGCAGCUCUCUAGGGCAUUAGAGAAUGGAUGUUUCCUCGGGAAAUUGCUCCCAAUCUAUGCCAGGGGAGGAGGUUUACUCUCUCUGGCCUGUUUCAACCUUUCAACCACUUUGAGUCCUAUGUGCAUGUGUCAUUUCUUUCUAAGAUCCUGGGAGGUGUGCCCAUUGGCAAACCUUCCUUUUCCAUUGCAGGUGAUGGUUCCCAUCCAGAAAUAAAAAUUUAUGUUCACGCGAAAAAUUUUCACAGGCAGUUCCUAGCAGCUCUCUUUCUCGUAGUGAAACUCUGUGCCCCCCCCAAAAUGUC
Molecule: long non-coding RNA, 678 nt
Filed under: Equus asinus (donkey)
Lineage: Eukaryota; Metazoa; Chordata; Mammalia; Perissodactyla; Equidae
Description: lncRNA (ENSEASG00005026271.1)
Source: RNAcentral